This 622-nucleotide ribosomal RNA is filed under the name uncultured bacterium. Its description in RNAcentral is "bacterial SSU rRNA". It matches the Rfam family "Bacterial small subunit ribosomal RNA", at positions 8 to 639 of the family's 1533-position model. The record is from RNAcentral.
AGAGUUUGAUCCUGGCUCAGGAUGAACGCUAGCGGCAGGCCUAAUACAUGCAAGUCGAACGGUGAUAGCAAUAUCAUAGUGGCGCACGGGUGCGUAACACGUAUGCAACCUACCUAUUAUUGGGGGAUAGCCUUUGGAAACGGAGAUUAAUACCGCAUAAUACGAUUGACUGGCAUCGGUUGAUUGUUAAAGCUUUGGCGAUAAUAGAUGGGCAUGUGUCCAAUUAGUUAGUUGGUUAGGUAACGGCUGACCAAGACGAUGAUUGGUAGGGGAUCUGAGAGGAUAAUCCCCCACACUGGCACUGAGAUACGGGCCAGACUCCUACGGGAGGCAGCAGUAGGGAAUAUUGGGCAAUGGGCGGAAGCCUGACCCAGCCAUGCCGCGUGCAGGAAGAAGGCGUUAUGCGUUGUAAACUGCUUUUUUAUAGGAAGAAGGAUCCCAUGCGAGGGAAGGUGACGGUACUAUAAGAAUAAGCACCGGCUAACUCCGUGCCAGCAGCCGCGGUAAUACGGAGGGUGCAAGCGUUGUCCGGAUUUAUUGGGUUUAAGGGUGCGUUGGCGGUUUAUUAAGUCAGUGGUGAAAGACGGUCGCUCAACGAUUGCAGUGCCAUUGAUACUGGUAG